RNAcentral lists this long non-coding RNA (2105 nucleotides) under Sus scrofa (pig). Its description in RNAcentral is "lncRNA (ENSSSCG00025050985.1, ENSSSCG00035023641.1, ENSSSCG00055006951.1, ENSSSCG00065012975.1)". The record is from RNAcentral. Lineage: Eukaryota; Metazoa; Chordata; Mammalia; Artiodactyla; Suidae.
AUACCAAGGCCAAGAAAGAAGGGGUGUGUUCAGGAGUCCCAGCAACGCACAAGACUAGGAGCAGGACAGCCUCCUCGGAUCCCACUUCUUGGGUUGUUUUCCAGAGUGGCUGCACCCCUUCCAUCCCCACCUGCAGUAGAUGAGGGUUCUCAUUUCUCCAUGUCCGGACCAACACCUGCUGUCUUCUGGAAUCUAGCCAGCCUGCUUAGGAUGAAGCAACCUCAAGUGGUUUGGAUUUGCAUGACUGAGCUUCAGGCUUUCUAUUAUUUAAAAACAAAAUCCUGCAAGGCCCUAUACAGAUGGGAAUUUGUGUGUAUGGCCGCACAAGGGGUCCAACUGGAGCUCCAGCUGCCAGCCGCAGCUACAGCCACAGCAAUGAUCCUAGGCUUGUCUGCAACCUACACCACAGCUCACUGCACCACCAGAUCCUUAACCCACUGAUCAACGCCAGGCAUCAAACCCGAAACCUCAUGGUUCCUAGUCGGAUUUGUUUCCACUGCACCACGACGGCAACUCCUGAAUUUGUUUCUGAUGAAGCUUUUGUUCCCAAUACAGGGCUUUAUAUAUAUAUAGUCAAUUUAUCAAGCUAGGUUUUUUGGUAAUACUUAUAGGGAAAUUCCUCAUUUUUGUAUUUUCUUUCUUUUUAUUUUUAUUAUAGUUGACUUAUAAUGUUUUGCCAAUUUUUCCUUUAUAGCAAAGUGAAUUAGUCUCUACAUAUACAUUCUUUUUUACAUUAUUUUCUAUCUAUCCCAAGAGAUUGGAUAAAGUUCCCCGUGCUAUACAGCAGGACCUCAUUGCUUAUCCAUUCUAAAUGGAAUAGUUUGCAUCUACUAACCCCAAACCCCCCGUCCAUCCCACUCCCUCCCCAUCCCCCUUGGCAACCACAAGUCUGUUCUCUAGGUCUGUGAGUCUGCUUCUGUUCUGUAGAUAGGUUGUUUGUGCCAUAUUUUAGAUUCCGCAUAGAAGUGAUAUCAUAUGGUAUUUGUCUUUCUCUUUCUGAAUUACUUCACUUGUAUGAGAAUCUCUAGUUGCAUCCAUGUUGCUGCAAAUGGCAUUAUUUCAUUAUUUUUUUGUGCCUGCAUAGCAUUCCAUUGUGUAUAUAUACCACAUCUUAAUCCAUUCAUCUGUUGAUGGAUAUUUAGGUUGUUUCCAUGUCUUGGCUAUUGUGAUAAACAUAGGGGUGCGUGCAAUAAACAUAGGGGUGCGUGUGUCUUUUUGAAUUAUAGUUGUGUUCAUAUAUAUUUGCCUAGGAGUGCAACUGCUGGAUCAUAUGGUAAUUCCAUUUUUAGUUUUCAGAGGAACCUCCAUACGUUUUUCCGUUUUUCUGUAGUGGUUGUACUAUAUUUUCUUUUAGUGUUUUCAUUGUUUCCUUUUUGUAUAUAUAGUUUGAGCUGUUGAAAAAAUGUUCUGCAACUUAUUUUUUCCAAAUACCAUGCAGUGAUUUCCACGGUCCUUACUCAAUAAUUAACAUUUUCCUCUCUAAUCUAAAAUAUCAUCCUUAAAUUCUUAUAUCAGUUUGGUCUACAUAUGAGGCUUUUUCCAGUUUUCUGACUUUCUAACACCAGCAUAACACUGAUCGAAUUAUCAUCAUUUUAUUUAAAAAUUCUUCUUCAGAAAGCUUGUUCAUUCCUCCCUUCAAAGAAAGUGCUGUUAGGUUUUUAUUUUGAUGACGUUAAAUGUGUAGGUUGACUAAGGGGCAGCUGACAGCUCUGUAAAGCUGCAUUCUGUCUCUGCAGAGAGCAGUCUUUUCCGUUUAAGGAGCCGUCACAGUCGCUCCUUGUUUAGCAUUUUCUCCACCGUGACCGUCACCAUUUGUUAGUAUGUCUAUCCCCACUUACGUCAUGUGUUUGUUGAUGUCAUAAAUGGCUUUUUCCUUCCGUUAUAAACUCCCUCUGCUGUGUUUAAGGCGACAAUUGAUGCCUGUAUGUUAUCAGUUCUAUUCUGACGCUUUCUAGUUUCUCGUACUGUGUAUACUUGCUUUUCCAGUAUUUCCUCUUGGUUUUCCACUUUUUUCACAAUAAAAAUGUUACUUCAUCCACCCCUUAUUUCUUUCUCCCUUCUAAUUGCAUUGACCAUUAGCUCCAGAUUAAAAUAAGUAAGAGCAG